Molecule: long non-coding RNA, 204 nt
Filed under: Elaeis guineensis (African oil palm)
Lineage: Eukaryota; Viridiplantae; Streptophyta; Magnoliopsida; Arecales; Arecaceae
Description: long non-coding RNA (EGUI_LNC020723)
Source: RNAcentral
AUCCGAAACUCACCUCAGCCUCCUCAUAGGUAUAUGGAUCCUCUCUUGCUGCAAACAAAUCCAUCUAACGUGGUCUCCCUAAAGCCUCGAUCCACGAUGCCCGCAAUCUCGCAUAAAUUCAUGCAAUACGUCACCGCUACUGGUGCUGGAAUUGGGAUCCAUUCUUGCACCCCUCAGCUCUAAAUCUGUGCCAAACCAUCCUCC